GGGCUUGCUUUGACAGCACAUAUACUAAAAUUGGAACGACACAGAGAAGAUUAGCAUGGCCCCUGUGCAAGGAUCACACGCAAAUUCCUGAAGCAUUCCAUAUUUUU
Molecule: small nuclear RNA, 107 nt
Filed under: Otolemur garnettii (small-eared galago)
Lineage: Eukaryota; Metazoa; Chordata; Mammalia; Primates; Galagidae
Source: RNAcentral